This 1374-nucleotide ribosomal RNA is filed under the name uncultured bacterium. RNAcentral describes it as "bacterial SSU rRNA". It matches the Rfam family "Bacterial small subunit ribosomal RNA", at positions 29 to 1393 of the family's 1533-position model. The record is from RNAcentral.
UUGAACGCUGGCGGCAGGCCUAACACAUGCAAGUCGAACGGUAACAGGAAGCAGCUUGCUGCUUUGCUGACGAGUGGCGGACGGGUGAGUAAUGUCUGGGAAACUGCCUGAUGGAGGGGGAUAACUACUGGAAACGGUAGCUAAUACCGCAUAACGUCGCAAGACCAAAGAGGGGGACCUUCGGGCCUCUUGCCAUCGGAUGUGCCCAGAUGGGAUUAGCUAGUAGGUGGGGUAACGGCUCACCUAGGCGACGAUCCCUAGCUGGUCUGAGAGGAUGACCAGCCACACUGGAACUGAGACACGGUCCAGACUCCUACGGGAGGCAGCAGUGGGGAAUAUUGCACAAUGGGCGCAAGCCUGAUGCAGCCAUGCCGCGUGUAUGAAGAAGGCCUUCGGGUUGUAAAGUACUUUCAGCGGGGAGGAAGGUGUUGAGGUUAAUAACCUCAGCAAUUGACGUUACCCGCAGAAGAAGCACCGGCUAACUCCGUGCCAGCAGCCGCGGUAAUACGGAGGGUGCAAGCGUUAAUCGGAAUUACUGGGCGUAAAGCGCACGCAGGCGGUCUGUCAAGUCGGAUGUGAAAUCCCCGGGCUCAACCUGGGAACUGCAUUCGAAACUGGCAGGCUAGAGUCUUGUAGAGGGGGGUAGAAUUCCAGGUGUAGCGGUGAAAUGCGUAGAGAUCUGGAGGAAUACCGGUGGCGAAGGCGGCCCCCUGGACAAAGACUGACGCUCAGGUGCGAAAGCGUGGGGAGCAAACAGGAUUAGAUACCCUGGUAGUCCACGCCGUAAACGAUGUCGACUUGGAGGUUGUGCCCUUGAGGCGUGGCUUCCGGAGCUAACGCGUUAAGUCGACCGCCUGGGGAGUACGGCCGCAAGGUUAAAACUCAAAUGAAUUGACGGGGGCCCGCACAAGCGGUGGAGCAUGUGGUUUAAUUCGAUGCAACGCGAAGAACCUUACCUACUCUUGACAUCCAGAGAACUUUCCAGAGAUGGAUUGGUGCCUUCGGGAACUCUGAGACAGGUGCUGCAUGGCUGUCGUCAGCUCGUGUUGUGAAAUGUUGGGUUAAGUCCCGCAACGAGCGCAACCCUUAUCCUUUGUUGCCAGCGGUUAGGCCGGGAACUCAAAGGAGACUGCCAGUGAUAAACUGGAGGAAGGUGGGGAUGACGCCAAGUCAUCAUGGCCCUUACGAGUAGGGCUACACACGUGCUACAAUGGCGCAUACAAAGAGAAGCGACCUCGCGAGAGCAAGCGGACCUCAUAAAGUGCGUCGUAGUCCGGAUUGGAGUCUGCAACUCGACUCCAUGAAGUCGGAAUCGCUAGUAAUCGUGGAUCAGAAUGCCACGGUGAAUACGUUCCCGGGCCUUGUACACACCGC